Molecule: non-coding RNA, 7811 nt
Organism: Macaca mulatta (Rhesus monkey)
Lineage: Eukaryota; Metazoa; Chordata; Mammalia; Primates; Cercopithecidae
Source: RefSeq, a predicted model, not a curated record
AGUCCAGUAGAUUUCAGUCUCAUUUUACCCAGCUCCUAUGCAAGAGGGAGUUGCUCUGGUUCACACGCCUCUGACACGGUGAGGAUAAUAUGGAGAACUGGAAUAUUCUCUCCAUUUCACAGAAGUUUUAUUCUCAUGGCUUAAUUCGUGUAAAAUACUUUAUAAUCCCAGAAGAAAGCCCGUCUAGCAGAUUAAGUGUACCAGCAUACAUAGACCCUGUGCACACUCACACACAGACGUGUCUAGAAACCCUGGAGCAUCGGGUGUCCUGACAUCAGAUUAUAGAAUGAGGCAUUUGCCACAUUAGACAUAUGCAUUCGGGAGUGGAAGUUACUGAAAAAUCUAAGAUCUUAGUAUUUAUCGAGGAAUUUUGUUUCCCCAAAAUUAGCUUUUAAAUCAAUAUGGCAUAACACAUCUAACUAUCACCUAAAGCUAUAUAGGCCCCCCCCCCAGAACUAUACACCCAUCAUUGAGAGCAAGACUUAAAUAUAAAGCUUUUGCGCACUCUUAAAACUUUAGAAUUAUACCAGCAGAAAACUGACAGUAGAGCAGAGUGGUUCUUAUUAGUGCUAUAAACAGAUAAUGAGAGAAAUACAGAUUGCAUUUUUUACAUUUAAAGUGUUUCACUAAUCCAGCAGAAAAAGAAUAUCAGAUGCUUCAGGAAGCUUAGUUUUAACAAAUCGCCGUGUACAUUCCCGUGCGGAGUUCAGAGUAAGACAACUGGUGGUUUCUAUUUCAGUAUAUCAUAGCUUUUCUAAAGCUGCAGUAUGGAAGUUGGAUUUUUCAUCUGGGGUGAUUCAUUUCAAUUUGUUGCAAAUAUUUAAGUGUUCCUUAAAUACAGUGUCAAUCUAAACUGAAAUGAGCUGUUCUCUAGGAGAGGAGCUUAGGUAUUCUUUAACAGAGUAAAGACGGAGAUUCACCGGAGCCCUUUUCUCUCCUGGAUGAAACAACUUCGUUAUGUUUAUGUGAUUAACGGAGUUAAGUGGAAAGACCUUUGCCCCAUGGUGUCAUCAGGAAGGUUGGAUGUUACUCAAGUUUAUCUUAAUUAAACAUUUGUAUUUAUUUUCUAAUAAAAAACAAAUGACCAGGUAUGCAUUAAGCAACUUCUCUUGGCAUUCUACCAGCGUAGUUAUGGAACCAAGAUGAAACAGAAUUGUCCUUCCAGGGCCACGCAGAAAAAGUCAAUCAAGCAGAAAUCUUGUUUGUGAUACACACUUCCUUUCUUUGUCAUAAAAUAAUAAAAUAACAUUUGUAUUAGAUGAAUAGGGUAUGUCAGACCGAAGGAGAGAGAGCGAGCAGCAGUGCUUCCUUGGAGUGUCAUGUUGGCACUCAAAAACUGUCACAUUUUGGAGCAUUUCAGAUUUUCGGAUUUGGAAUGCUCAAGCCACGUAAGAGCGAGUGAUGACCUGGUUUGAAAGGCUGAGAGAGACAGGAAAAAGGUAAUUCUAUAGGUGUAUACAGAAGAGCUGCAUGUAUAAAGGCUAUGGAAUCUCUGUCUCUAACAAGUGUAUAUUAUAUAUAUGGAGAGCGAGAGAAAGACACUAAGACUCAUAUUAAGGAAUUGGUUCACAUAAUUGUGGGGACUAGCAAGUCACAUAUCUGCAGGGAUGGCCAGCAGGCUGGACACCCAGGGAAGAGUUGAUGUUGCAGUCUUGUCCAAAGGCUGUCUGAUCGGCAGAAUUCCCUCUUCCCUGAGGACCUCAGUCUUUUUCUCUUAAAGCCUCCAACUAACUGGGUGAGGCCCACCCACAUUAUGCAGAGUAAUCUGCUUUACUCAAAGCCUACUGAUUUUGAUGUCAAUCUCAUCUAAAAAAUGCCUUCAAAGAAAUGACUAGACUGGUAUUUGACCAAAUGUCUGGGUACCGUGACCUAGCUAGGUUAACAUAUAAAGCUAACCAUUAUGUCAUCAUCAUCAUCAUCAUCAUCGCCAUCAUUGACUGUGCACCAUGUCCUAUUUUGAGCACCUGAUGCGUAUUAACUCGUUGGCUCCUUACCACAACCAUGUCAGGCACACACACUCUUACUAUAUGCAUUCUGUGGAUGAUAGGUUUGCAGUCAGAGGGGUCAAAUAACAUGCCCACAGUUUCCAUAGCUAGUCUAAUUUGGUUGUGCGCAUGUCCGUCUUGCCUACAAAUUCUCCUGGAAGACAUGGCUGGUGUUCUUCUUCAUUGAUGUGUGCUCAGUAAUUGUUCACUGAGUGAAUGGUAGUUACUGUUUUUUGAGCAGUUACUGUGUGUUAGGACUGGGUUAAGCACCCUAAUCUUGAAAAGUAUCUAAAGAGUAGAGAUUUUAACUGAUGGAAAGCUGAGGCUCUGAGAAGCCACUAACCCGAGCAAGGUCAUAGAGCUCUGAAUGAUGGAGCCAGGAUCCACAUUCAUCUCUUUGUGAUUGUGAGAUGCCUAUGAAAAUUUACCAGUAUUAAAAGAAUCAAGCCUACAUGAAAGAAUAGAUGACUCUGGAAAUACAUGAACGACUGGUUACUUGAUUUUUGUAACCUUUUCCUUAAAUCCAGGGAUUGCGCAUUCUGAAUGUUCCAGGACAUUCUUCCCAAUUAUAACCACCCUCCCCUUAACACUCUCAUGUUAGACCAAUUGCCACAAGACAUACCAUCCUUAAACAAAAUGUGUUAUUCUAUUACUGUUUUCACAUCUUCUCUGUUAAAAAUCCUUCAAUUCAUUUAAAUUCUAUGGCUUUUAUAUAUGUAGCUCCUCCAUAUCCUCCUAAAGGUCUUUGUGAAUGACCUUUUCCCUUCUCUCUCAGCCUUUCAGACCAGGACAUCACUGGCUCUUAUACAGGUUCAGCAUCCCAAAUCCAAAAAUCCAAAAUCCAGAAUGCUCCAAAAUUCAACUUUCUGAGCACUGACGUGGUACUCAAAGGAAAUGCUCAUUGGAACAUUUUGGAUUUCAGAUUUAUGGAUUUGGGAUGCUCAACCGGUAUUCUGUAAUGUAAAUAUUAAAAAAAAAAAAUCCAAAAUCCAAAAUGCUUCCAGCCCCAGCAUUUUCAGAUGGACCUGUUCCUCUCCAUCAAGAAAUAGGUCCUACCCUGCUUCUCUUUUCCUGAACAUAAAUCGUCAUCUCAGAGUGUUAUUUUCUGGGCUUUUGGACCCAUGAAAAAACCAUAGCUGUCCUGGGAUUAGACCUGAGAGGCUGAGAGCUGUGCUUACUGAGGUGUCCUGAGUUGACACUGCUCAUGAAAAGUGCCACAGUUAAAUCCACCUUGGGCUGGUGUCUGAGCUAAGAGGGGAAAAAAAAAUGCAUGACAAUAGUUACUGAAGGAAGAAACCCUUCCUGAUGAAGGUCGUUAGAACUCUCAAGUGUGUUUGCCUUUUUAGCAAGUGUGUUUACACUUCGGAAGUCCAGUCAUUUCUCUCCAUGAGCCCGAGUCUGCAGACAAAAUGAAUGCACCCUCCUGCCUUUUUCUUCCUGGGGUCUUCUGAGUUUGAAGUUGGAUUUUGCCCCUUUAGUUUUGGGUGAUUCCUCCUGCAAGUUAGAAGAUGAAGUUACAGCCUGUAAACUGUGUAAGUACACAGCCUCAGAUGGCAUUUCCUCCCAUCCGUGUCAGCGCGUACGGGGAUUUGACAGGUAACAAGAACACCUUUCCGCUCUAAUCCUCCUGGCUGCUUCUCGGACAUCUCCCUGAAACUCAGCUGGCUCCCUCAUCCCUUUCAUUUCUGGGCGGUCUGAUUAGGGUAAAACCCAUCAUCAAAGCAGGCCAGGUGCUGAUACUCAGCACACGAAGCUGUCAGGAAGUGAUCCUUCAGAUUUCCUGGGGAUUCCUGCCCACAUAGCCCCGCCAGGCUGUAACAGCUCCUGUGCCUCAGGUGGGGGAUUAGCCGAGACCGCAUGGCUAGUGAUUGCUAAUCUUUCCGUACCAGCCAGCCGAGGUCCUCUAAUUAAUACCCAGCUCGUAAAUACCCAAAUCUGUUUCCCCAGAGGGUGUAGUUCCUGAGGGUUAGAUUAGCCAGUUAGUAUGGGUGAUUUUCCUCUUCUGAUUUUAGAAUACAGAUAAUGGAGAUUUUUUUUUAAGAUUUCUGUUUGAAUUUGUGUUCUUACUUCCUGCCUCCUCCUGCCUUUAUUCAGUGAUUCAUCAUGCAACUCCCUGAGCUGAGGAUGAGUAACUGGGUUACUUACUGGGAAGACCUUUUAUUUAAAGGCGUAUUGUUUCACAUAGAUGGUCUCAGUUCCUUCCUCCAUGUCACUAAGGACUCUGAUGUCUUACUGUCCUAGCUCCUUUCAGUGGAAUGGAAAAAAUGGAAGUGUGUUCAGAUUGUGAGGGGAUGCUCAGCUUCUCCUGAGGGCAGACCCUGCCAAAAUAGAAAAGUGGCCCUGGAGUAUUCAGGUAGAUAAUAGCCCUUUGAUACGGUCUAUUUAUAGGGUCCUAGAAACACUGAUGGUGGAGCUAAGGUCUCAGGAAGUUGUCAGCCAUCCUGUGGAAUGUAAGAUUGUCACAGUCCAUCAUCAGGGGGUGGCCCACCAUCUCUGCACACUUUGGAAUGUUUCAGUCCCCUUCUUCCUAGAUUGUACAUGCUGCUGUAGUGAGAACAUGUCUUCUCAGUAAGGUUCAUGGUGCUUUGUUCUUAGUACUUUGUUAUUUCAGAGAAGAUCCUGAAAGAAAAUGCCAGCUCCAGGAGUUAUAAAGUGCUCAUGAAAUAUUUGUAGAAUGGCUGAAUGAGAAUAAUUUCUAUAGGUAAAUUGUUUGGCUAAGUGCAGUAAGAAGGGGUUCUUCUGAAAGUAACAUGUCCAUUGUCCCAUAGGCAGAGCUCGGCCAUAACACAUAGGUGAUAUUUCAUGUUGCAGUGGUGGCCACCAGGCAACUGCCCUGCCGUGAAUACCAUGUUGACAGGGAUUCCGAUGGGUCUUCAUGGUUCUGGAGAAUGCCACAUGUGCAAGAGAAGGCAGUAGACAUUUGCCAUCACUGUGCUAAUGCUAAACAUUAGAUGACCUCCCAUGUUCAGACAUGAAUGUGCCGGGAUUUUAGGAGGCUUAUAAACACACAUCUUUUCUUUCCCCCCUGAAUUCAAAACUAGUUGAGAAAUAAGGCAUAAAUGACAGUCAAAUGUAGGUCAGUGUCCCAGCUGACAAAGCAGACCAGAGAAGGUGGCCUUCAGACUGUGUUUCUUCUCCCUGGAAUUAAACAUCGCAGUCCCACUGGUCUCAGGUGAUGCUCUGCAGCCACAGCUUCUCCUGAGGGCAGGCCCUGCUAGCUGCGUUUUCUGCAUGGCAGGAGAGCAGCAUAGAUUCACUGUCUCCUUGAGAAGAUCCAGAAGGACUUAGCUGAGCUGUGUGCACCCAUUCUUCUCCCCGACAGAGGCAUUAAUGGAAGACGGCCCUCCUGCUCAGGGGGUUGUGAAUGAGGGGCUGAGCUUGGGUGGAAGUGCCCCUUCCCAGUGGCUUCUGAGGGGGCGGGGUUCUUCCCUCUGGGUGAUUUUCUCAUUGUAGUUAGAGGUUUUGUGGGAUGUUCCCUUUCCUUACCUUGCUUCUGUGGUUCCCUUACUGUGAUUUGCUUUACUUGUCAUUGGCUGCUUCAGAGACACUUAAGAACAUGUGUGCAGCACCGUGGAGGCCCUGGAGGUUUGUCUGUUGUUUUAGGGAAUUCCCUUUGUAGCUCUGUACAUGCGGGGUCCCAGAGGGGCCUUCUCCUGGGAAACGUUUUAAGCAGAACUUUACGAAAACUCACAGAACAUGUUCAUUCGCCUUCUAAACAUGAAAAUACCCAUUUGGUCAGUGUUCAGUGUGAAACCAUUGAACUAAACAUGUCAAACCACAGGACUAAAGGAGACCUGACACUUCAUUUGGAUACCCCUGUCUAGAUCCUACUGCCACCAGGCGCAUGGCAGAAAGAAGCGUCCCGAGUCCGAGACCCAGUCCGAGCCCACCUCUGGUGGGGAGAUUCGGGCAAGGCUUUCUGUUCACCUGCUGUGUUGUCCUGCAGGUUCCUUUCAGUUCCUGGUGCUAUUGUUCUCCACCAUUCUAGAGAAAUAACUGGCUGCCCUAGAGAUGCUGGUGCUACCUCCAAAGCCUGUAACUCAUGGUGGACAUUAUGCACCGGGACCCAGGGACGGUCAUGGUGCUCGGUUGGGGUUGGCACUGGAGUUGAAGCUCAUCUUCCAUCCCUCCCUUUUUAACUACCUCCGGACACAAUUAAUUAUUCAUUCUACCAGAUGUCAAGUCUCGUGUUUGAAAGAGCCUUUCACACAGGCACACAUAUGUUUAUUGCAGCACUAUUCACAAUAGCAAAGACCUGGAACCAACCCAAAAACCCAUCAAUGAUAGACUGGAUAAAGAAAGUGUGGCACAUAUACACAGUGGAAUACUAUGCAGCCGUAUAAAAGGAUGAGAUCAUGUCCUUUGCAGGGACAUGGAUGUAGCUGGAAACCAUCAUUCUCAGCAAACUUAUCACAAAAACAGAAGACCACACACCACAUGUUCUCACGCAUAAGUGGGAGUUGAACAAUGAGAACACAUGGACACAGGGAGGGGAACAUCACACCCCAUCUAUCAGGGCCUGUCAGGGGUGGGGGACAAGGGGAGGGAUAGCAUCAGGAGAAAUACCUAAUGCAUGCGGGGCUUAAAACCUGGAAGAUGGGUUGGUGGCUGCAGCAAACCACCAUGGCACACGUAUACCUGUGGAACAAACCUGCGUGUUCUGCACAUGUAUCCUGGAACUUAAAACAACAACAACAACAACAACAAAGAGUCUUUCCAAUUCUUAAGCUAAAUACUAUGCCUCAAGUUUAAGCUCCUUGCUUUCUUCAUGAGUUCUUAAAGGAACUUUUCCCAAGUAAUCCCCGAGUCCAAUGUUGCAUUUGUCUGAAAGGGAUCUCAUAGAAUUCGAAGAAAGAGAAAUUAAAUUUUUAUUUUUUAAAAAAGAUCUCAGGUGAAACUCAUCACUAAUAGCACAGGGCUCAGCCUUUCUGCACCACCUUCUUCCAUUAUGCUCCUUUCUGGAAACAUCAAUCUGUUUUAAUUAUGCACAUAUAUAUUUAUUAUCUGAAAACUGAAUCCAGUUUGCCUUUCUCUGAAAUUACUUUGUUGCAAUGCAGCUUCUAGGAGCAUAGUUAACAUCAAUAAAAAAAACCACAUUAUUGAAACUGUACAUUAUGAUCAGGAAUAGAACAAGAAGAUCUAUGUAGCACAACGAAAAAGUGAAUUGGAAACUAUGAUUAAUGGAGAAGUCUACGGGGUCACGUGGAAACUGUUUACCUUGCCACCUCUCUGUAGUUAUUAAAACUCUUGAAAAUGCAUGUUCUUAUCCUAAGAGUGUGGAACUGACGUUGAGGAGUAUUUUGCAUGUGCCAGACACAGAUGAAUUCAAGACACAGUCUCUACACUCUGGAUUUCUACAGUUUAACUGGACAGAGAGAGAUGAACAAAACUGCAGUGGAGCGUGUCAGGUGCCAUAGUAUGCAAGGCCCAGCGCCCUACCCGAGCAAAGGAGGUCAGCACUGGUUGGCUGGACCCUGGCCAGGCUUGCUGUGGGGAAGGGGUCGAUGCACUGUGGAGAAGGCCAUUGGCACUGAUGGUCCCUACGGAGCGGAACAUUCUCAUGGCUUUGUCUGUUACCCAGAUAACUAGAGGAUGCUCUGUGUGCAAAUCUUGUUUUCUUUAAUCAGCAUAAAAUCUGGAAUGAGGAGAAAUAGCUUCUGAAAUGCCCUUUCUCAGAGAAGGAUGAGCAGAAUGAGCCAUACCAUCUACACCGGGAGUGUCCAGUUUUUUGGCUUCCCUGGGUCACAUUGGAAGAAGAAGAAUUGUCUUGGGCCACACACAAAAUAAACUAACAGUAACAAUAGCUGAUGAGCUAAAAAAAAAAAA